RNAcentral lists this ribosomal RNA (2805 nucleotides) under Triticum aestivum (bread wheat). RNAcentral describes it as "partial small subunit ribosomal RNA". Lineage: Eukaryota; Viridiplantae; Streptophyta; Magnoliopsida; Poales; Poaceae. The record is from RNAcentral.
AUGGAGGUGGCUCUGGUGAGUGUAGCGACGGGAGCCUUGAAACCCGUCCUGGCGAAGCUGGGCGCUCUGGCGGGCGAUGAGUACAGGCGGUUCAAGGGUGUGCCUGGCGAUAUCAAGUCGCUCACCCAUGAACUUGCUGCAAUGGAUGCGUUUCUUCUGAAGAUGUCGGAGGAGGAGGACCCUGAUGUCCAGGACAAGGUGUGGAUGAAUGAGGUGCGGGAGCUCUCCUAUGACAUGGAGGACUCCAUCGACGACUUCAUGCAAAGUGUUGACAGCGAAGAUACAAAGCCAGAUGGCUUUUUGGAGAAGAUGAAGAAUUCGCUGGGGAAGUUGGGGAAGAUGAAGGCUCGUCGUCGGAUCGGCAACGAGAUCGGAGAUAUGAAGAAACAGCUCAUCGAGGUGGCCGAGAGGAAUGCAAGGUACAAGGCCCGUGAGGCCUUGUCCAAGGCCAACAAUGCAACCAUUGAUCCUAGAGCUCUUGCUAUCUUUAAGCAUGCCUCUGAGCUUGUCGGAAUUGAUGAACCCAAGGCCGAGGUAAUUAAAUUGUUGACUAAAGGUGAGUCAACGCACGAGCAAAUGAAGCUGGUCUCUAUCGUAGGAUCUGGGGGGAUGGGCAAGACAACUCUUGCAAAUCAAGUGUAUCAAGAUCUCAAAGGAGAAUUUAAAUGUCGGGCCUUCUUAUCUGUGUCAAGAAGCCCUGACAUGAUGAAUAUCAUGAGAACUAUUUUUAGUGAAGUCAGUGGGAAAGAUUAUGCUAACACUGAAGCAGGGAGUAUACAACAACUUAUUAGCAAGAUUGCCAAUUUCCUGGCAGACAAAAGGUACUUUGUUGUUAUUGACGAUAUAUGGGAUGUGAAUACAUGGCAUGUUAUUAAGCUUGCAUUUCCCAUGACUAGUUUUGGAAGUAUCAUAAUCACCACUACCCGUAUAAAUGAAGUUUCUGAAUCAUGCCGUUCAACACCAUUUAGUGGAGAUAUUUAUCGCAUAAGGCCUCUUGACAUGGUGCACUCUAGGCAGUUAUUUUACACAAGACUAUUCAAUGCCCAAGAAAAGUGCCCCUCAUACCUUGUAACAGUUUCUGAGCAUAUUUUGAAAAAAUGUGCUGGGUUGCCUUUGGCAAUCAUUGCUAUAUCCGGUUUGUUGGCUAAUAUUGAAAGGAAAGAAGGUCCAUGGAAACAAGUUGAAGAUUCAAUUGGUCGAGCACUUGAAAGAAACCCCAGUGUUGAAGGAAUGAUGAAGAUACUAUCACUUAGUUACUUUGAACUGCCUGCUCAUCUGAAAUCUUGUCUCUUAUGUUUGAGUAUAUUCCCUGAAGAUUCUGUUAUUGAGAAGAAAGUUUUGAUAAAUAGGUGGAUUGCUGAAAGAUUAAUUCAUACAGAAGCUGGAUAUAGUACAUCAUAUGAAUUUGGAGAAAGGUGUUUUAAUGAGCUAAUAAAUAGGAGUUUGAUCCAACCUGGGAAAUUGGGUAACUAUGAUAGGGUAAAGAGCUGUCGACUUCAUGACACAAUUCUUGAUUUCAUCAUAUCCAGAUCCAUCGAAGAAAAUUUUGUUACUUUGGUGGGUGUUCCUAGUUUAUCUGUUGGGACACACAACAAAGUUCGUCGGCUCUCCCUGCAAGCCAGUAAGCAAAAAGAACUGAUAGUGCCAAGAGGCUUGGUGUUGUCUCAUGUCCGAUCACUUGAUGUGUUUGGGGAAUCUGUGAAAAUUCCUUCUAUGGAUAAGUUUAGGCAUUUGCGUUUUCUGGACUUUGAAUAUUGCCAACAGCUGGAGAACCGUCAUCUUGAAAAUAUAGGGAUGUUGUUUCAGCUGAGGUACCUGAGCCUUCAAGGGGUGAAGAAAGUAAGCAAGCUUCCAGAACAAAUCGGACGCCUAUGGUGCUUAGAGAUACUAGACUUAAGAGGCACCUCUGUUUGUGAGUUACCAGCAUCUAUUGUCAAUCUCAAGAGACUGGUGCACCUAUUGGUAAACCAGAAUGUUACACUUCCUUGUGGAAUUUUCAAGCUGCAAGCACUGGAGAAAUUGAAGCUUGUCAGUGUCUAUAGCCAGUCAUUUAACUUCCUGCAAGAAUUUGAGCAGCAGCAGAGCCUUAAGGUAUUGACCAUUGAUUUUGAGGAUUAUAAUUCUGCUGACCGAGUGAACGCUGAAAAUGAGACCAAGAAAACUAUUAUUGUCACUUCCCUUAUAAACCUAGGGAACCUUCUAUCUCUAACUGUUUGGGAUGGCCCUGAAUUUGUAAGGGAGUCUUUGUGCCCUAUGCCACUUAGCCUCCAGAAGCUGAAAGUCUGGUGUUCUAGUAUUCCCCAUGUUCCAAAUUGGGUCAGCUCCCUUGUCAACCUCCAGGAGUUACACCUUGAAUUGUUCAGAGCUGAGCAGAAAGAUUUAUAUAUCCUUGGAGGCUUACCUGUUCUGCGUUGUCUGAUUCUGAGAAUUGUUGAUCGUGAAAUUCGAAAUACCUCAUUAACAGAAGAGCCUGAAGUUACAAGGGUCAUAGUCUGUGGUGAAGUUGGAUUCCAAUGCUUGAGGAUAUUUAAUUAUGAUAGUGCGCGUGCUGUGAUGAAUUUGACGUUUGCGGCUGGGGGCAUGCCCAAGGUAGAUGACCUCAGGAUAGAAUUUAACGCAGCAAAAACUGAGUCUCUGGGUACUAGCGGUGCUUUUGAUAUCGGAAUAGAAAAUCUCCCCAGCCUCGUUCAAAUCAGAUGUAAAGUAUGGGGAUACGGGGUCCACAGCAGCAGAGUUGAGGCUGCCAUUCGGGAAGCAGCCAACGCACAUCCCAACCGCCCUACUCUAUCCUUCCGCUUAUAUUGA